AACGAACGCUGGCGGCGUGCUUAAGACAUGCAAGUCGUACGGAAAGGCUCUCUUCGGAGAGUACUCGAGUGGCGCACGGGUGAGUAACGCGUGGGUAAUCUGCCUUCGGGUUUGGGACAACCCCGGGAAACUGGGGCUAAUACCGGAUAAGACCACGAGUUCUUCGGAGCUCGCGGAAAAAGGUGGCCUCUCGUAGAAGCUACCGCCCGUCGAUGAGCCCGCGUCCCAUUAGCUUGUUGGUGAGGUAACGGCUCACCAAGGCUUCGAUGGGUAGCUGGUCUGAGAGGAUGAUCAGCCACACUGGAACUGAGACACGGCCCAGACUCCUACGGGAGGCAGCAGUCGGGAAUUUUGGGCAAUGGGCGCAAGCCUGACCCAGCAACGCCGCGUGAGGGAUGAAGGCCCUCGGGUCGUAAACCUCUGUCGGGAGGGAAGAACGGUGACGUUUCGAACAGGCUCGUCAUCUGACGGUACCUCCAAAGGAAGCACCGGCUAACUCCGUG
Molecule: ribosomal RNA, 503 nt
Filed under: uncultured bacterium
Lineage: Bacteria
Description: bacterial SSU rRNA
Rfam family: Bacterial small subunit ribosomal RNA
Source: RNAcentral